Molecule: ribosomal RNA, 927 nt
Filed under: uncultured Bacteroidota bacterium
Lineage: Bacteria; Pseudomonadati; Bacteroidota
Description: bacterial SSU rRNA
Rfam family: Bacterial small subunit ribosomal RNA
Source: RNAcentral
UGGAUCCAGACUUUGAUCCUGGCUCAGGAUGAACGCUAGCGACAGGCUUAACACAUGCAAGUCGAGGGGCAGCGGUAAGAGAGCUUGCUCUCUUAGCCGGCGACCGGCGCAUGGGUGAGUAACACGUAUGCAACCUGCCCGUGACUGGGGGAUAAGCGGGAGAAAUCCCGUCUAAUACCGCAUAACGCGCCUCGGGGACAUCCCUGGGGCGCCAAAGAUUCAUCGGUCACGGAUGGGCAUGCGUCGCAUUAGCUAGUUGGCGGGGCAACGGCCCACCAAGGCGACGAUGCGUAGGGGUUCUGAGAGGAAGGCCCCCCACACUGGUACUGAGACACGGACCAGACUCCUACGGGAGGCAGCAGUGAGGAAUAUUGGUCAAUGGGCGGGAGCCUGAACCAGCCAAGUCGCGUGAGGGAAGACGGUCUUACGGAUUGUAAACCUCUUUUGCCGGGGAGCAAAGGGCGCCACGCGUGGUGUUUCGAGAGUACCCGGAGAAAAAGCAUCGGCUAACUCCGUGCCAGCAGCCGCGGUAAUACGGAGGAUGCGAGCGUUAUCCGGAUUUAUUGGGUUUAAAGGGUGCGUAGGCGGGCCGGUAAGUCAGCGGUAAAAUAGCGGGGCUCAACCCCGCCGAGCCGUUGAAACUGCCGGUCUUGAGUGGGCGAGAAGUGCGCGGAAUGCGUGGUGUAGCGGUGAAAUGCAUAGAUAUCACGCAGAACCCCGAUUGCGAAGGCAGCGCACCGGCGCCCAACUGACGCUGAAGCACGAAAGCGUGGGGAUCGAACAGGAUUAGAUACCCUGGUAGUCCACGCAGUAAACGAUGAAUGCUAGUUGUCCGGGGCGAAUGGGCCCUGGGUGACACAGCGAAAGCGUUAAGCAUUCCACCUGGGGAGUACGCCGGCAACGGUGCAACUCAAAGGAAUUGACGGA